GCCUGGAUAGCUUAGUUGAUAGAGCAUGAGACUCUUGAUCUCAUUGUUGUGGGUUCGAGCCUCACAUUGGGUA
RNAcentral lists this transfer RNA (73 nucleotides) under Canis lupus familiaris (dog). It matches the Rfam family "tRNA". From Rfam's summary of the family: Transfer RNA (tRNA) molecules are approximately 80 nucleotides in length. Their secondary structure includes four short double-helical elements and three loops (D, anti-codon, and T loops). Further hydrogen bonds mediate the characteristic L-shaped molecular structure. tRNAs have two regions of fundamental functional importance: the anti-codon, which is responsible for specific mRNA codon recognition, and the 3' end, to which the tRNAs corresponding amino acid is attached (by aminoacyl-tRNA synthetases). tRNAs cope with the degeneracy of the genetic code in two manners: having more than one tRNA (with a specific anti-codon) for a particular amino acid; and 'wobble' base-pairing, i.e. permitting non-standard base-pairing at the 3rd anti-codon position. The record is from Rfam by way of RNAcentral. RNAcentral also lists the same sequence under 1 other name. Lineage: Eukaryota; Metazoa; Chordata; Mammalia; Carnivora; Canidae.